Molecule: small RNA, 83 nt
Filed under: Marmota monax (woodchuck)
Lineage: Eukaryota; Metazoa; Chordata; Mammalia; Rodentia; Sciuridae
Source: RNAcentral
GCCUGGCACGGUGGCGCAUGCCUGUAAUCCCAGCAGCUCCGGAGGCUGAGGCAGGAGGAUGGUGAGUUCAAAGCCAGCCUCAG